CGCUAGUAAUCGCGAAUCAGCAUGUCGCGGUGAAUACGUUCCCGGGUCUUGUACACACCGCCCGUCACACCAUGGGAGUUGGAAAUGCCCGAAGUCAGUGACCCAACCGAAAGGAGGGAGCUGCCGAAGGCAGGUUCGAUAACUGGGGUGAAGUCGUAACAAGGUAAC
Molecule: ribosomal RNA, 168 nt
Filed under: uncultured bacterium
Lineage: Bacteria
Description: partial 16S ribosomal RNA
Rfam family: Bacterial small subunit ribosomal RNA
Source: RNAcentral